AUCCUGAGUACGACGGAGCACGUGAAAUUCCGUCGGAAUCUGGGAGGACCAUCUCCUAAGGCUAAAUACUCUCUAGUGACCGAUAGUGAACCAGUACCGUGAGGGAAAGGUGAAAAGCACCCCGGAAGGGGAGUGAAAUAGAACCUGAAACCGUGUGCUUACAAGUAGUCAGAGCCCGUUAAUGGGUGAUGGCGUGCCUUUUGUAGAAUGAACCGGCGAGUUACGAUUUGAUGCAAGGUUAAGCAGUAAAUGUGGAGCCGUAGCGAAAGCGAGUCUGAAUAGGGCGUUUAGUAUUUGGUCGUAGACCCGAAACCAGGUGAUCUACCCUUGGUCAGGUUGAAGUUCAGGUAACACUGAAUGGAGGACCGAACCGACUUACGUUGAAAAGUGAGCGGAUGAACUGAGGGUAGCGGAGAAAUUCCAAUCGAACCUGGAGAUAGCUGGUUCUCUCCGAAAUAGCUUUAGGGCUAGCCUCAAGUGAUGAUUAUUGGAGGUAGAGCACUGUUUGGACGAGGGGCCCCUCUCGGGUUACCGAAUUCAGACAAACUCCGAAUGCCAAUUAAUUUAACUUGGGAGUC
This 578-nucleotide ribosomal RNA is filed under the name Staphylococcus aureus. RNAcentral's name for it is "partial 23S ribosomal RNA". It matches the Rfam family "Bacterial large subunit ribosomal RNA", at positions 405 to 985 of the family's 2925-position model. The record is from RNAcentral. Lineage: Bacteria; Bacillati; Bacillota; Bacilli; Caryophanales; Staphylococcaceae.